CAAAUAAACUUGGGGAGCUCAUGUUAUGGGCUGAGAAAGGGCUCUAAGCACCGGACCCAUUGAACCUGAACGGGGUAAUGCCCGCGUAGGAAAGGCCUGUGUUCAUUUU
Molecule: non-coding RNA, 109 nt
Filed under: Peptococcaceae bacterium
Lineage: Bacteria; Bacillati; Bacillota; Clostridia; Eubacteriales; Peptococcaceae
Description: TPP sequence
Rfam family: TPP riboswitch aptamer (THI element)
About the family: Vitamin B(1) in its active form thiamin pyrophosphate (TPP) is an essential coenzyme that is synthesised by coupling of pyrimidine and thiazole moieties in bacteria. The previously detected thiamin-regulatory element, thi box was extended, resulting in a new, highly conserved RNA secondary structure, the THI element, which is widely distributed in eubacteria and also occurs in some archaea.
Source: RNAcentral